UGGGGAAUUUUGGACAAUGGACGCAAGUCUGAUCCAGCCAUGCCGCGUGCGGGAAGAAGGCCUUCGGGUUGUAAACCGCUUUUGUCAGGGAAGAAACGAGUUUCUCUAAUACAGAGACUUAAUGACGGUACCGUAAGAAUAAGCACCGGCUAACUACGUGCCAGCAGCCGCGGUAAUACGUAGGGUGCGAGCGUUAAUCGGAAUUACUGGGCGUAAAGCGUGCGCAGGCGGUUAUAUAAGACAGAUGUGAAAUCCCCGGGCUCAAUCUGGGAACUGCCUUUGUGACUGCAUAGCUAGAGUACGGUAGAGGGGGAUGGAAUUCCGCGUGUAGCAGUGAAAUGCGUAGAUAUGCGGAGGAACACCGAUGGCGAAGGCAAUCCCCUGGACCUGUACUGACGCUCAUGCACGAAAGCGUGGGGAGCAAACA
RNAcentral lists this ribosomal RNA (427 nucleotides) under uncultured bacterium. RNAcentral describes it as "bacterial SSU rRNA". It matches the Rfam family "Bacterial small subunit ribosomal RNA", at positions 355 to 774 of the family's 1533-position model. The record is from RNAcentral.